Phrynosoma platyrhinos (Desert horned lizard) is the source of this 73-nucleotide non-coding RNA. NCBI's taxonomy places the organism in Eukaryota, Metazoa, Chordata, Lepidosauria, Squamata, Phrynosomatidae. The record is from the annotation of a GenBank genome assembly.
GCCAAUAUGGGAUAGUGGUUUGAGUGCUGGACAGGGACUCCGGGAGACCAGGGUUCAAAUCCCUGGUUGGUCA